Molecule: ribosomal RNA, 481 nt
Filed under: uncultured bacterium
Lineage: Bacteria
Description: partial 16S ribosomal RNA
Rfam family: Bacterial small subunit ribosomal RNA
Source: RNAcentral
GAUGAACGCUGGCGGCGUGCUUAACACACGCAAGUCGAACGAAGCAUUUGCGACAGAUUUUUUCGGAAUGAAGUUGCUUAUGACUGAGUGGCGGACGGGUGAGUAACGCGUGGGUAACCUGCCUUGUACUGGGGGAUAGCAGCUGGAAACGGCUGGUAAUACCGCAUAAGCGCACAAUGUUGCAUGACAUGGUGUGAAAAACUCCGGUGGUAUAAGAUGGACCCGCGUCUGAUUAGCUAGUUGGUGAGAUAACAGCCCACCAAGGCGACGAUCAGUAGCCGACCUGAGAGGGUGACCGGCCACAUUGGGACUGAGACACGGCCCAGACUCCUACGGGAGGCAGCAGUGGGGAAUAUUGCACAAUGGAGGAAACUCUGAUGCAGCGACGCCGCGUGAGUGAAGAAGUAAUUCGUUAUGUAAAGCUCUAUCAGCAGGGAAGAUAGUGACGGUACCUGACUAAGAAGCGCCGGCUAAAUACGUG